UACGGAGGAUCCAAGCGUUAUCCGGAAUCAUUGGGUUUAAAGGGUCCGUAGGCGGUUUAAUAAGUCAGUGGUGAAAGCCCAUCGCUCAACGGUGGAACGGCCAUUGAUACUGUUAAACUUGAAUUAUUAGGAAGUAACGUAGAAUAUGUAGUGUAGCGGUGAAAUGCUUAGAGAUUACAUGGAAUACCAAUUGCGAAGGCAGGUUACUACUAAUGGAUUGACGCUGAUGGACGAAAGCGUGGGUAGCGAACAGG
This 254-nucleotide ribosomal RNA is filed under the name uncultured bacterium. RNAcentral describes it as "partial 16S ribosomal RNA". It matches the Rfam family "Bacterial small subunit ribosomal RNA", at positions 524 to 776 of the family's 1533-position model. The record is from RNAcentral.